RNAcentral lists this ribosomal RNA (468 nucleotides) under uncultured bacterium. RNAcentral's name for it is "bacterial SSU rRNA". It matches the Rfam family "Bacterial small subunit ribosomal RNA", at positions 32 to 507 of the family's 1533-position model. The record is from RNAcentral.
AAUCAACGCUGGCGGCGUGCCUCAGACAUGCAAAGUCGAACGAUUAAGACUCUCUUCGGAGAGUGUAUAAAGUGGCGCACGGGUGAGUAACACGUAGGUAAUGUACCGAAGGGUGGGGAAUAACUUAGGGAAACUUAAGCUAAUACCGCAUAAUGCAGCGGCUCGACAUCGAGACAGUUGUUAAAGGAGCAAUCCGCCUUUUGAGCAGCCUGCGGCAGAUUAGCUAGUUGGUAAGGUAAUGGCUUACCAAGGCUACGAUCUGUAACCGACCUGAGAGGGUGGUCGGUCACACUGACACUGAAUAACGGGUCAGACUCCUACGGGAGGCAGCAGUCGGGAAUUUUGGGCAAUGGGCGAAAGCCUGACCCAGCAACGCCGCGUGAAGGAUGAAGUAUUUCGGUAUGUAAACUUCGUAAGAAUAGGAAGAAUAAAUGACGGUACUAUUUGUAAGGUCCGGCUAACUACGUG